This 485-nucleotide ribosomal RNA is filed under the name uncultured bacterium. Its description in RNAcentral is "partial 16S ribosomal RNA". It matches the Rfam family "Bacterial small subunit ribosomal RNA", at positions 899 to 1397 of the family's 1533-position model. The record is from RNAcentral.
ACUCAAAGGAAUAGACGGGGGCCCGCACAAGCAGCGGAGCGUGUGGUUUAAUUCGACGCAACGCGAAGAACCUUACCUAGGCUUGACAUGUACGUGGUACGAGCGUGAAAGCGUGAGGACUCGCAAGAGAGCGUACACAGAUGCUGCAUGGCUGUCGUCAGCUCGUGCCGUGAGGUGUUGGGUUAAGUCCCGCAACGAGCGCAACCCUCGCUGCCAGUUACCAUGUCUGGCGGGACCGCCGGGUCCAACCCGGAGGAAGGUGGGGAUGACGUCAAGUCAGCACGGCUCUUACGUCUAGGGCUACACACACGCUACAAUGGCCGGUACAACGCGCAGCGAUGGGGCGACCCGGAGCGAAUCGCAUCAAAGCCGGUCUCAGUUGGGAUUGCAGGCUGCAACUCGCCUGCAUGAACGCGGAGUUGCUAGUAACCGCAGGUCAGCACACUGCGGUGAAUACGUUCCCGGGCCUUGUACACACCGCCCGU